Molecule: long non-coding RNA, 1739 nt
Organism: Topomyia yanbarensis
Lineage: Eukaryota; Metazoa; Arthropoda; Insecta; Diptera; Culicidae
Exons: 3
Source: RefSeq, a predicted model, not a curated record
AUUGGCCGAGUUUUAUGUAUGUCAGCUGGAGGAAAACAAAACCCCAAAAGUGUGUGUGAAAGGAAUUGCAUAGAACUCUACAGCGACAAGGUCUACCCUAAAAAAGUUUAGGCAGACUUCAAUUGGACAAAAAAUGAUUAGAACGGGAAUUUGAAAAAUAUUUAAUUCUCUUGUAUUGUUGGACAUACAAAACGGCGAUGAACACGUUAAGUGGCCACAUUCCUCCCACAUCUCCGACAGGUGUGGUUUCUGCGCUGGCCUAUGUAAAGCACUCUUUCGGCGCGUGCUUGCCGUUACGGAAGAACGAAAGGAACAAAUCAGGUGCACCCUGACGAUGCCAAAUUUCUCCAUUGCCUUGCUAGUGCAAUCUAACUACAUUACAUGUUACAAACGCCGCCGAACCCUUAUACACCAUCUAAUUAUUUCCGAAAGCUGCUUUCAGAUUUGGCCUAGCGCGGAAGAAGUUGACAUCCAAGUGGAUCCAGAGACAGUACACGAGGACGCGGACGAUGAGCGAUCAGAUAUCGAAAACGCUGUGGAAGACGCUGAUGAAUUAAACAUUUUCCUUUGGAACCAAAAACCGAAAUGCGCAUCAAGGGAGAGAAUGGGAAGAUUUACGUUAUUAGCGGGAUGGGAGAGGAAAAAGUUGAAAUGGGUGAUUUGCAGAGCGUUUUCGUCGAUUUAUGGAUCCGGAUCGCAACAUGAAACAAAAUAGUUCAAAGGGAGAAAAGGAAUCUGCUGGUUUGCCGCUAAAGAAGGAUCGUUCAUUACCCAUUCGGAAUCGAUGUUCAUAUUGUAAUAGAGUUUGCGGACAAGUACCUGAUGACGACGCACAUUCGAUGGCACACGAUUACAGGUAAAAAGCCCUUCAAAUGUGUCCCCACUGUUCGAAAACAUUCACUCAAUCGAUAACGCUGAAGAUACACGUCAGGUUUCACACCCGGGAAAAAAAAAAAGAAAAAAAAAACAUGAGAAUUUGCAUGCCACCGGGAAACUGUUCUAUUGUCGCGAUUGUGGUAAAAAGUAUAACACAUAUGUGUCCAAACGCAAGGUUUCUAAUACAAACGUAAAGGAAAAGAUGUACUCGUGUAAAAUAUACAGCCAAACAUUCAAGCAUCAGCAAAGCAGGGUGUACCACAUGAGCAACAAAACCAAACACAAACGGUUCGACAGAGGUUUUGAGAGAUCUGAAGACGGACGAAGGAGAGGGGAUUUGACGAAGCUAAAAUAACUUUCUCGUUCCCAAAUUGUUAAAGCUACCAAGCACAACACCGGACUACUUGAGCAAUUUGUCCUGAGCAUGUUUUUGGCAAGUGGUGAGGAUAGUGUAUCCGUUUAUUGGGUAGUAUUUGGCGCACCAACAUUAGUAGCGUAAAUAUCCAGCGCCAGACGCAGGUUCCGUUUGAUGGAUUCGAUGGAAUCGCUAUCGACAGACUCUUCAUCAUCUCGACUUCCAUGAGCUCAUUCAGUACUUUAUGAUAAAAUAACAAUAGUCUAGACAGGCUACGGUCCGACCCGGAUGUAGAAUUCAACUAGAUACAUUCGACAAUAAUACCACGCAAGACUGGCAGUAUACUCGACUGCUGUAUGCUUUUCAAGAGCAGCUGAUUUUUGGUGAACUAUCGGAAAGGAUUCAAACGAAAUGGCAUUUGCUUACAUUUCAGCAUGUAUCAAACAAUUGAAUUCAAAUAGUUUGUACCUUUCCGAAUUAUUUGAGGCAUGAUUUUCCUGGAAAGACA